UGGGGAAUUUUGCGCAAUGGGGGAAACCCUGACGCAGCAACGCCGCGUGAGUGUUGAAGGCCUUCGGGUCGUAAAGCUCUGUCAGAGGGAAAGAAAUGCGGGAGGGUUAAUACCCCUUUUGCUUGACGGUACCCUCAAAGGAAGCACCGGCUAACUCCGUGCCAGCAGCCGCGGUAAUACGGAGGGUGCGAGCGUUGUUCGGAAUUAUUCGGCGUAAAGCGCGGGUAGGCGGUCUUUUAAGUCUGAUGUGAAAGCCCCGGGCUCCACCUGGGGAUUCCUUUGGAAACUGGGAGACUUGAAUACGGGAGGGGUUGGUGGCAUUCCUAGUGUCGGCGUAGAAUCCGUGGUUAUUAGGGGGAA
RNAcentral lists this ribosomal RNA (360 nucleotides) under uncultured bacterium. Its description in RNAcentral is "bacterial SSU rRNA". It matches the Rfam family "Bacterial small subunit ribosomal RNA", at positions 355 to 706 of the family's 1533-position model. The record is from RNAcentral.